GUGUCAGCAGCCGCGGUAAUACGAAGGGGGCUAGCGUUGUUCGGAAUUACUGGGCGUAAAGCGCACGUAGGCGGACAUUUAAGUCAGGGGUGAAAUCCCGGGGCUCAACCCCGGAACUGCCUUUGAUACUGGGUGUCUUGAGUGUGGUAGAGGUGAGUGGAAUUGCGAGUGUAGAGGUGAAAUUCGUAGAUAUUCGCAGGAACACCAGUGGCGAAGGCGGCUCACUGGACCACAACUGACGCUGAGGUGCGAAAGCGUGGGGAGCAAACAGGAUUAGAUACCCCUGUAGUCC
RNAcentral lists this ribosomal RNA (292 nucleotides) under uncultured bacterium. RNAcentral describes it as "partial 16S ribosomal RNA". It matches the Rfam family "Bacterial small subunit ribosomal RNA", at positions 505 to 796 of the family's 1533-position model. The record is from RNAcentral.